This is a small nucleolar RNA of Papaver somniferum (opium poppy), 89 nucleotides long. RefSeq annotates it as small nucleolar RNA Z159/U59. The transcript has a single exon. NCBI's taxonomy places the organism in Eukaryota, Viridiplantae, Streptophyta, Magnoliopsida, Ranunculales, Papaveraceae. The record is from RefSeq and is a predicted model, not a curated record.
GCCUCUGAUGUUGAUCACCAAAUCCAUUUUGUCUCCAUCCAAUGUUGAUCAUCUAUGCGGAAAUUAAUUGAGACCUGAACCGAAGAGGC